GGAGCCUUGGCGCAAUGGUAGCGCGUUGGUUUUCGGCACCAAAGGUUGAGGGUUCGAGCCCCUUGGGCUUCG
Molecule: transfer RNA, 72 nt
Filed under: Pyrenophora tritici-repentis Pt-1C-BFP
Lineage: Eukaryota; Fungi; Ascomycota; Dothideomycetes; Pleosporales; Pleosporaceae
Also listed under: 5 other names
Description: tRNA-Arg (TCG) (tRNA-Arg-TCG-2-1)
Rfam family: tRNA
About the family: Transfer RNA (tRNA) molecules are approximately 80 nucleotides in length. Their secondary structure includes four short double-helical elements and three loops (D, anti-codon, and T loops).
Source: RNAcentral